GGCCGCCUGGCGAAAUGGCAUCGCGUCUGACUACGAUAAAUUUGUAAUCAGGAGAUUGCAGGUUCGACCCCUGCGGUGGUCA
Non-coding RNA from Lentinula lateritia, 82 nucleotides. NCBI's taxonomy places the organism in Eukaryota, Fungi, Basidiomycota, Agaricomycetes, Agaricales, Omphalotaceae. The record is from the annotation of a GenBank genome assembly.